UAUAGUUAAGUGGUAAGUUUUAUUCCUUGUUUGUUGUGUUUGAAAGGUAGUGUAUUUGUAUUUGGCGUAUAGAAUUCGUCAUAAUAAAGGUGUGUAUGAUUUAGCCUGAUGAGAUGUUUGAAAUGCAAAGAUUUUUGUUAGAAAAGAUUGUAUUUCGUUGGGAAGUGUCAGCUCUGUUAAGGUUAAAGUUCUAUUUGGUGUAAGGAUGAAAG
RNAcentral lists this long non-coding RNA (212 nucleotides) under Gossypium barbadense (sea-island cotton). RNAcentral describes it as "long non-coding RNA (GBAR_LNC015359)". The record is from RNAcentral. Lineage: Eukaryota; Viridiplantae; Streptophyta; Magnoliopsida; Malvales; Malvaceae.